UUACUAUAGCUUGACACUGAACAUUGAGCCUUGAUGUGUAGGAUAGGUGGGAGGCUUUGAAGUGUGGACGCCAGUCUGCAUGGAGCCGACCUUGAAAUACCACCCUUUAAUGUUUGAUGUUCUAACGUUGACCCGUAAUCCGGGUUGCGGACAGUGUCUGGUGGGUAGUUUGACUGGGGCGGUCUCCUCCUAAAGAGUAACGGAGGAGCACGAAGGUUGGCUAAUCCUGGUCGGACAUCAGGAGGUUAGUGCAAUGGCAUAAGCCAGCUUGACUGCGAGCGUGACGGCGCGAGCAGGUGCGAAAGCAGGUCAUAGUGAUCCGGUGGUUCUGAAUGGAAGGGCCAUCGCUCAACGGAUAAAAGGUACUCCGGGGAUAACAGGCUGAUACCGCCCAAGAGUUCAUAUCGACGGCGGUGUUUGGCACCUCGAUGUCGGCUCAUCACAUCCUGGGGCUGAAGUAGGUCCCAAGGGUAUGGCUGUUCGCCAUUUAAAGUGGUACGCGAGCUGGGUUUAGAACGUCGUGAGACAGUUCGGUCCCUAUCUGCCGUGGGCGCUGGAGAACUGAGGGGGGCUGCUCCUAGUACGAGAGGACCGGAGUGGACGCAUCACUGGUGUUCGGGUUGUCAUGCCAAUGGCACUGCCCGGUAGCUAAAUGCGGAAGAGAUAAGUGCUGAAAGCAUCUAAGCACGAAACUUGCCCCGAGAUGAGUUCUCCCUGACUCCUUGAGAGUCCUGAAGGAACGUUGAAG
This 748-nucleotide ribosomal RNA is filed under the name Escherichia coli. Its description in RNAcentral is "partial 23S ribosomal RNA". It matches the Rfam family "Bacterial large subunit ribosomal RNA", at positions 2101 to 2843 of the family's 2925-position model. The record is from RNAcentral. Lineage: Bacteria; Pseudomonadati; Pseudomonadota; Gammaproteobacteria; Enterobacterales; Enterobacteriaceae.